RNAcentral lists this ribosomal RNA (503 nucleotides) under uncultured bacterium. Its description in RNAcentral is "partial 16S ribosomal RNA". It matches the Rfam family "Bacterial small subunit ribosomal RNA", at positions 30 to 523 of the family's 1533-position model. The record is from RNAcentral.
AUUGAACGCUGGCGGCAGGCUUAACACAUGCAAGUCGAGCGGGGUGAUGGUGCUUGCACUAUCACUUAGCGGCGGACGGGUGAGUAAUGCUUAGGAAUCUGCCUAUUAGUGGGGGACAACAUCUCGAAAGGGAUGCUAAUACCGCAUACGUCCUACGGGAGAAAGAAGGGGAUCACUUGUGACCUUGCGCUAAUAGAUGAGCCUAAGUCGGAUUAGCUAGUUGGUGGGGUAAAGGCCUACCAAGGCGACGAUCUGUAGCGGGUCUGAGAGGAUGAUCCGCCACACUGGGACUGAGACACGGCCCAGACUCCUACGGGAGGCAGCAGUGGGGAAUAUUGGACAAUGGGGGGAACCCUGAUCCAGCCAUGCCGCGUGUGUGAAGAAGGCCUUAUGGUUGUAAAGCACUUUAAGCGAGGAGGAGGCUCUUUUGGUUAAUACCCAAGAUGAGUGGACGUUACUCGCAGAAUAAGCACCGGCUAACUCCGUGCCAGCAGCCGCAGUAA